GGGGAAUAUUGCACAAUGGGGGAAACCCUGAUGCAGCGACGCCGCGUGAAGGAAGAAGGUUUUCGGAUCGUAAACUUCUAUCAGCAGGGAAGAAGAAUCCUCUCCUUUGGAGAGGCGUGACUGUACCUGACUAAGAAGCCCCGGCUAACUACGUGCCAGCAGCCGCGGUAAUACGUAGGGGGCAAGCGUUAUCCGGAAUCACUGGGUGUAAAGGGUGCGUAGGCGGUAGGGCAAGUCAGAUGUGAAAGCCCGGAGCUCAACUCCGGGACUGCAUUUGAAACUGUUCUACUAGAGUGCAGGAGAGGAAAGCGGAAUUCCUAGUGUAGCGGUGAAAUGCGUAGAUAUUAGGAAGAACACCAGUGGCGAAGGCGGCUUUCUGGACUGUAACUGACGCUGAGGCACGAAAGCGUGGGGAGCGAAC
Molecule: ribosomal RNA, 421 nt
Filed under: uncultured bacterium
Lineage: Bacteria
Description: bacterial SSU rRNA
Rfam family: Bacterial small subunit ribosomal RNA
Source: RNAcentral